This is a long non-coding RNA of Centruroides sculpturatus (bark scorpion), 187 nucleotides long. RefSeq lists it as uncharacterized. Lineage: Eukaryota; Metazoa; Arthropoda; Arachnida; Scorpiones; Buthidae. The transcript has 3 exons. The record is from RefSeq and is a predicted model, not a curated record.
GAAAAGUGCCAAAAACGAGGGUUUGGAUGGUGAUCAUCAUCCAUUUUCUUCCUUAAAACAGAAAUGUUUGGUGGCAUCUUUAUCGACAAGAAGAAAGAAGGCAAUUCUUUGAAGGAUACUUGUAGGCGUUAUAAUAUAAUAAUUUAGUGGAGAUUUGAAGAAGAUGCUCAAGCUUCAAAAUGGCGCA